Molecule: unclassified non-coding RNA, 309 nt
Filed under: Leptodophora orchidicola
Lineage: Eukaryota; Fungi; Ascomycota; Leotiomycetes; Helotiales
Also listed under: 2 other names
Description: Cadophora orchidicola partial internal transcribed spacer region
Rfam family: Eukaryotic small subunit ribosomal RNA (bases 1-46)
Source: RNAcentral
AAGUCGUAACAAGGUUUCCGUAGGUGAACCUGCGGAAGGAUCAUUACUAGAGCAAAGGAUAGACAGCGCCCGCGGAGCUCGCUCCCGGGGCUACCCUACUCCCGUAGGGUUUAGAGUCGUCGGGCCUCUCGGAGAAGCUCGGUCCUGAACUCCACCCUUGAAUAAACUACCUUUGUUGCUUUGGCGGGCCGCCUCGUGCCAGCGGCUUCGGCUGUUGAGUGCCCGCCAGAGGACCCCAACUCUUGUUUUUAGUGAUGUCUGAGUACUAUAUAAUAGUUAAAACUUUCAACAACGGAUCUCUUGGUUCUG